GGAAGUAUACUCAAAUUGGUGAAGAGAACAGUCUUGAAAACCGUUAGGUCGGUAACACGACGUGGGAGUUCGAAUCUCUCUGCUUCCA
RNAcentral lists this transfer RNA (88 nucleotides) under Crassvirales sp. RNAcentral describes it as "tRNA-Ser". It matches the Rfam family "tRNA". Rfam says of the family: Transfer RNA (tRNA) molecules are approximately 80 nucleotides in length. The record is from RNAcentral. Lineage: Duplodnaviria; Heunggongvirae; Uroviricota; Caudoviricetes; Crassvirales.